This 450-nucleotide ribosomal RNA is filed under the name uncultured bacterium. RNAcentral's name for it is "partial 16S ribosomal RNA". It matches the Rfam family "Bacterial small subunit ribosomal RNA", at positions 354 to 796 of the family's 1533-position model. The record is from RNAcentral.
GUGGGGAAUAUUGGACAAUGGGCGAAAGCCUGAUCCAGCCAUGCCGCGUGCAGGAUGAAGGCCUUCGGGUUGUAAACUGCUUUUGCACGGAACGAAAAGACUCCUUCUAAUAAAGGGGGUCCAUGACGGUACCGUAAGAAUAAGCACCGGCUAACUACGUGCCAGCAGCCGCGGUAAUACGUAGGGUGCAAGCGUUAAUCGGAAUUACUGGGCGUAAAGCGUGCGCAGGCGGUUAUAUAAGACAGAUGUGAAAUCCCCGGGCUCAACCUGGGGACUGUGUUUGUGACUGUAUAGCUCGAGUACGGUAGAGGGGGAUUGAAUUCCGCGUGUAGCAGUGAAAUGCGUAGAUAUGCGGAGGAACACCGAAGGCGAAGGCAAUCCCCUUGACCUGUACUGACGCUCAUGCACGAAAGCGUGGGGAGCAAACAGGAUUAGAAACCCUAGUAGUCC